RNAcentral lists this ribosomal RNA (500 nucleotides) under uncultured bacterium. RNAcentral's name for it is "partial 16S ribosomal RNA". It matches the Rfam family "Bacterial small subunit ribosomal RNA", at positions 30 to 523 of the family's 1533-position model. The record is from RNAcentral.
AUUGAACGCUGGCGGAAUGCUUUACACAUGCAAGUCGAACGGCAGCACGGACUUCGGUCUGGUGGCGAGUGGCGAACGGGUGAGUAAUGUAUCGGAACGUAUCCAAUAAUGGGGGAUAACUAGUCGAAAGAUUAGCUAAUACCGCAUACGCCCUACGGGGGAAAGCUAGGGACCUUCGGGCCUGGCGUUAAUGGAGCGGCCGAUAUCUGAUUAGCUAGUUGGUGAGGUAAAAGCUCACCAAGGCGACGAUCAGUAGCUGGUCUGAGAGGACGACCAGCCACACUGGAACUGAGACACGGUCCAGACUCCUACGGGAGGCAGCAGUGGGGAAUUUUGGACAAUGGGCGAAAGCCUGAUCCAGCCAUUCCGCGUGAGUGAAGAAGGCCUUCGGGUUGUAAAGCUCUUUCGCAAGAGAAGAAAACUUACCCUCUAACAUAGGGUGAGGCUGACGGUAUCUUGAUAAGAAGCACCGGCUAACUACGUGCCAGCAGCCGCGGUAA